Long non-coding RNA from Setaria italica (foxtail millet), 252 nucleotides. RefSeq lists it as uncharacterized. Lineage: Eukaryota; Viridiplantae; Streptophyta; Magnoliopsida; Poales; Poaceae. The transcript has 3 exons. The record is from RefSeq and is a predicted model, not a curated record.
AAACAUGAAAAUCAUCAUGAACAAUUCAAAGUUGAUCAAACAUAUGACUAUCUCCCACAAGAUUAUGAAAUGACGGACCUGGACUACUGUGCUCUAAUAACAAUAGAAACAUCUUUGGAAUCUGAUAUACUUGUGAAGAUAGAUGACAUCUUUGUCACACAAUCUCAAUUGUCAUGUUUGCUAGAUCCAAAAAAAUUCCUAAAUGAUGAUGUCAUCAGCGCGUAUAUAUGUUGCAUAAAGUAUCAAACCCAU